Long non-coding RNA from Neltuma alba, 192 nucleotides. RefSeq lists it as uncharacterized. The record is from RefSeq and is a predicted model, not a curated record. The transcript has 2 exons. Lineage: Eukaryota; Viridiplantae; Streptophyta; Magnoliopsida; Fabales; Fabaceae.
GAGACAAGGAGAAAUUUGUUUUGGCCGAGCUGUGUUGCGAACGAAGGAGUUCGCUGCCAUGCAACUAUGGAAGAUAGCUCAUAACCGUGUAAACCAUAUUUCUAAGCACUUCGACUAACAUCAACUACGUGAACUUAAAGUGUAAUAGGUGACCCUAAGAAAUCUGUACAAAAGCAUACAUGGUCAUUGCUC